UCUCUCUCUCUCUCUCUCUCUCUCCUAUCUAUCUACCUAUCCUCUACCCUAAUUUCCUCCUUCAACCACAGUUUCGUGUUCAAGCAGCACCGAUCGGAUCGAUCAAUCUACCCAAAUUCAACAAAAUCCCCAAAGAAAAAGAAAAAGAAAAAAUCUCCUUGGAUACUUGUCCUGAUUGAUUCGUUUUCUCUGAACCUAAGAAUUUAGGAAAUUUUAUAAAUUCGGAUGGAAUUAGGGUUUUUUUGUACCUAAUUCAUUUAUUAAUUAGUCUCCGAAAUAGAUAAGGGCCGAGAGGGGGUUCUCCA
RNAcentral lists this unclassified non-coding RNA (305 nucleotides) under Hevea brasiliensis (rubber tree). Lineage: Eukaryota; Viridiplantae; Streptophyta; Magnoliopsida; Malpighiales; Euphorbiaceae. The record is from RNAcentral.